UUACUACCACCCUAAACGAAGCCCCUCUUCCUUCUCCAACUGCCUCUAGUUACCCUAUGUCGAUUAGGGGUUUACCUUCUUCAAACUUUGCCUUCCUUUCUGACCAGAUGAAAGCUGAUGAUGUCCUUGCUAAUGUUCCAGUGGAGAUCUUUUCUGUUUCCAGCUACCUACAAGCAAAACCAGCAACGAAUUAAGUCUGUCAGAGUGAAUGAUGGGAAAAAGCUCAGGACCACAACCCAAUGGUGAGUAAAUUUAGCAUUGAGAGGCCCAAAAGUUCGGAAAAUUUGUGGCUUUGUCCUGGAGCUUGAAGGCCUGAAAUAGGAGAUUCUUCAAAAUGUAAAGCCAUAUCCAACACCAGAUGCAAAGGCUAUCUCCAUCAACUUCCCUGCUGCUGUGAAUCUGGAGGUUGCCACUUGGAAUCUCCCUUGCCAAUGUUCUGCUAUCAUUCAGUGUUUGGCUGGUAUCUGUUGUCUGAAUCUAAACUUUAAUGGCUCGU
This 496-nucleotide long non-coding RNA is filed under the name Phoenix dactylifera (date palm). RNAcentral's name for it is "long non-coding RNA (PDAC_LNC003068)". Lineage: Eukaryota; Viridiplantae; Streptophyta; Magnoliopsida; Arecales; Arecaceae. The record is from RNAcentral.